UUACGGCCAUAUUACGUUGAAACACCGGUUCCCGUACGAUUACCGAAGUUAAGAAAUGUCAAGCCUGGUCAGGACCUAAGUGGGUGACCGUUUGGGAAUACCAGAUGCUGUAAG
Acanthosepion pharaonis is the source of this 114-nucleotide non-coding RNA. Lineage: Eukaryota; Metazoa; Mollusca; Cephalopoda; Sepiida; Sepiidae. The record is from the annotation of a GenBank genome assembly.